UGAAAAUCCCAAGUGAUGAGCUUGGGAUUUUUGACAUUGCUCCAGAAACAAAGCAACUUUUGCAUGCAACUUCCAUCUGCAGAUCUGUGUCUAAUUUGAGGCGACCUGAAAAGCCAAGACGUGUUGAAGACUGGUGACGACCAGGACUACGUCAGCUAGAACCCCUGAGAACAAAGCUUUCAUUGUGUUCAGAUAAGGAACAAAAGAUUGAUCCCAGCCAUGACAGCUGGAAUGCACCACAGACUUUAACUUGCUGAAUGAAGACCUACAAGGAGAAUCUGCUCUUCUCUCUGUUCUCUUUCAUUGGUUCAUCGGGUCAAUAGCUGAUCUAUUCUGUGGACCAUGUGUCCAAAUCCUUAGGAUAUUUUUUAGCAUGUUACGUGGGUUAAUGCCAGCAUAUUCUGUUGGUAGCCAGCAUGAUCCUUAUAGUUGAAUUUGUUAAUCUGAUCAGAGUUUGUCUGUUCUCUAGUGGUGUGUGUUAAUCCCAUUCAGUUCAUCUAGAAGCCAUGGUUUACCCUUUAAUAAUUUGUGCGCACACACCUUUUUCAUCCUGGUUUACCAGGGUAGCUUUCCCAAAUGUCUCUCUCUGCUAGUAGUACUUUUUGUUUGUAUCAGCUGAGCCUCAGCUAUGAAUUUAGGUGCACACCUGAGCAUGCCACAUUCAA
Long non-coding RNA from Gavialis gangeticus (Gharial), 665 nucleotides. RefSeq lists it as uncharacterized. NCBI's taxonomy places the organism in Eukaryota, Metazoa, Chordata, Crocodylia, Gavialidae. The transcript has 3 exons. The record is from RefSeq and is a predicted model, not a curated record.